UGAAUACGAGAUGCUACGGCGUCGAAGCAGUCUAUGUCAUACUUCCAAGAAAAGCUCGCACUGUCAUAAACAAAUAAUGCCUGUACCAUAACCGACACAGGUGGGUAGGUAGAGUAUACUAAGGGGCGCGAGAUAACUCUCUCUAAGGAACUCGGCAAAAUGACUCCGUAACUUCGGGAGAAGGAGUGCCUUAUUUAUAAGGUUGCAAUAACAAGAUCCAAGCAACUGUUUAUCAAAAACACAGGUCUCCGCUAAGUCGUAAGACGAUGUAUGGGGGCUGACGCCUGCCCAGUGCCAGAAGGUUAAAGAAGUUGGUUAGCAUUCGCGAAGCUGAUAACUGAAGCCCUGGUGAACGGCGGCCGUAACUAUAACGGUCCUAAGGUAGCGAAAUUCCUUGUCGGGUAAGUUCCGACCCGCACGAAAGGCGUAAUGAUUUGGAUACUGUCUCGGAGAGGGGCUCGGUGAAAUAGACUUGUCUGUGAAGAUGCGGACUACCUGCACCAGGACAGAAAGACCCUAUGAAGCUUUACUGUAACUUGAGAUUGAAAUUGGACUUUACUUGCGCAGUAUAGGUGGGAGGCGUUGAUAAUAUUCUUGCGGGAUUAUUUGAGCCAUCAGUGAGAUACCACUCUUGUAAUGUUAGAUUUCUAACUUUGUAUCAUUAUCUGGUCAAAGGACAGUUUCAGGCGGGCAGUUUGACUGGGGCGGUCGCCUCCUAAACGGUAACGGAGGCGCACAAAGGUUUCCUCUGAACGGGUAGAAAUCGUAUCUAGAGUGUAAAGGCAUAAGGAAGCUUGACUGUGAGACCUACAAGUCGAGCAGGGACGAAAGUCGGUCUUAGUGAUCUGACGGUGCUGAGUGGAAAGGCCGUCACUCAACGGAUAAAAGUUACUCUAAGGAUAACAGGCUGAUCUCCCCCAAGAGUUCACAUCGACGGGGAGGUUUGGCACCUCGAUGUCGGCUCAUCGCAUCCUGGGGCGGUAGUACGUCCCAAGGGUUGGGCUGUUCGCCCAUGAAAGCGGUACGCGAGCUGGGUUCAGAACGUCGUGAGACAGUUCGGUCCAUAUCCGGUGUAGGCGUUAGAAUAUUGAGAGGAGCCUUCUUUAGUACGAGAGGACCGAGAAGGACAUACCUCUGGUGUACCAGUUAUCGUGCCAACGGUAAACGCUGGGUAGCUAUGUAUGGAGUGGAUAACCGCUGAAAGCAUCUAAGUGGGAAGCCCACCUCAAGAUAAGUAUUCU
This 1241-nucleotide ribosomal RNA is filed under the name metagenome. Its description in RNAcentral is "bacterial LSU rRNA". It matches the Rfam family "Bacterial large subunit ribosomal RNA", at positions 1564 to 2814 of the family's 2925-position model. The record is from RNAcentral.